Molecule: ribosomal RNA, 253 nt
Filed under: uncultured bacterium
Lineage: Bacteria
Description: partial 16S ribosomal RNA
Rfam family: Bacterial small subunit ribosomal RNA
Source: RNAcentral
UACGUAGGGGGCAAGCGUUGUCCGGAAUCAUUGGGCGUAAAGAGCUCGUAGGUGGUCUGUUGCGUCGGCUGUGAAAUCCCGAGGCUCAACCUCGGGCCUGCAGCCGAUACGGGCAGACUAGAGUUCGGCAGGGGAGACUGGAAUUCCUGGUGUAGCGGUGAAAUGCGCAGAUAUCAGGAGGAACACCAGUGGCGAAGGCGAGUCCCUGGACAACUCCUGACGCUGAGGCACGAAAGCUAGGGGAGCAAACAGG